Molecule: ribosomal RNA, 388 nt
Filed under: uncultured bacterium
Lineage: Bacteria
Description: bacterial SSU rRNA
Rfam family: Bacterial small subunit ribosomal RNA
Source: RNAcentral
AUUGAACGCUGGCGGAAUGCUUUACACAUGCAAGUCGAACGGCAGCACGGGGCAACCUGGUGGCGAGUGGCGAACGGGUGAGUAAUACAUCGGAACGUGCCCAAUCGUGGGGGAUAACGUAGCGAAAGUUACGCUAAUACCGCAUACGAUCUACGGAUGAAAGCGGGGGAUCGCAAGACCUCGCGCGAAUGGAGCGGCCGAUGUCAGAUUAGGUAGUUGGUGGGGGUAAAGGCUCACCAAGCCGACGAUCUGUAGCUGGUCUGAGAGGACGACCAGCCACACUGGGACUGAGACACGGCCCCAGACUCCUACGGGAGGCAGCAGUGGGGAAUUUUGGACAAUGGGCGCAAGCCUGAUCCAGCCAUUCCGCGUGCAGGAUGAAGGCCUU